UGUUCGUGAAGCGCCCUGGCUUGUU
RNAcentral lists this unclassified non-coding RNA (25 nucleotides) under Mus musculus (house mouse). Its description in RNAcentral is "oocyte_clustered_small_RNA1935". The record is from RNAcentral. Lineage: Eukaryota; Metazoa; Chordata; Mammalia; Rodentia; Muridae.